GACGAACGCUGGCGGCGUGCUUAACACAUGCAAGUCGAACGCUGAAGCUUGGUGCUUGCACUGGGUGGAUGAGUGGCGAACGGGUGAGUAAUACGUGAGUAACCUGCCCUUGACUCUGGGAUAAGCCUGGGAGACUGGGUCUAAUACUGGAUACGACAUGUCACCGCAUGGUGGUGUGUGGAAAGGGUUUUACUGGUUUUGGAUGGGCUCACGGCCUAUCAGCUUGUUGGUGGGGUAAUGGCUCACCAAGGCGACGACGGGUAGCCGGCCUGAGAGGGUGACCGGCCACACUGGGACUGAGACACGGCCCAGACUCCUACGGGAGGCAGCAGUGGGGAAUAUUGCACAAUGGGCGGAAGCCUGAUGCAGCGACGCCGCGUGAGGGAUGACGGCCUUCGGGUUGUAAACCUCUUUCAGCACGGAAGAAGCGAAAGUGACGGUACGUGCAGAAGAAGCGCCGGCUAACUACGUG
This 472-nucleotide ribosomal RNA is filed under the name uncultured bacterium. Its description in RNAcentral is "partial 16S ribosomal RNA". It matches the Rfam family "Bacterial small subunit ribosomal RNA", at positions 28 to 507 of the family's 1533-position model. The record is from RNAcentral.